ACCCAUCCCGAACACGACCGUUAAGCCCUCCAGCGCCGAUGGUACUUGGACCGCAGGGUCCUGGGAGAGUAGGACGUCGCCAAGC
This 85-nucleotide ribosomal RNA is filed under the name Paenibacillus sp. 1182. The record is from RNAcentral. Lineage: Bacteria; Bacillati; Bacillota; Bacilli; Caryophanales; Paenibacillaceae.